RNAcentral lists this unclassified non-coding RNA (244 nucleotides) under fungal sp. RNAcentral describes it as "partial internal transcribed spacer region". The stretch from base 1 to 46 matches the Rfam family "Eukaryotic small subunit ribosomal RNA", at positions 1786 to 1831 of the family's 1831-position model. The record is from RNAcentral. RNAcentral also lists the same sequence under 1 other name. Lineage: Eukaryota; Fungi.
AAGUCGUAACAAGGUUUCCGUAGGUGAACCUGCGGAAGGAUCAUUAACACUAAUGAAAUCCAAAACCUUUUGGAUCAACCCAACCUUAGCGAACCGUUCGUUUUUUCCCUUUGCCCAUUUUAUUUAAACGCAAAACAAAUCUGAUGUAAAGUGUCUGAUUCUUAUUCUCGUCUUUCCCGAAAGGGUAAAGCUGGAAUCAAAAUCUAACGCAAUACAACUCUUAACAACGGAUAUCUUGGCUCUC